RNAcentral lists this transfer RNA (71 nucleotides) under Camelus bactrianus (Bactrian camel). It matches the Rfam family "tRNA". Rfam says of the family: Transfer RNA (tRNA) molecules are approximately 80 nucleotides in length. The record is from Rfam by way of RNAcentral. RNAcentral also lists the same sequence under 2 other names. Lineage: Eukaryota; Metazoa; Chordata; Mammalia; Artiodactyla; Camelidae.
GAGGAUAUAGCUUAAUGGUAGAGCAUGUUCUUAGCAUGCACAAGGUCCUGGCUUCCAACCCCAGUACCUCU